Molecule: ribosomal RNA, 1189 nt
Filed under: Escherichia coli
Lineage: Bacteria; Pseudomonadati; Pseudomonadota; Gammaproteobacteria; Enterobacterales; Enterobacteriaceae
Description: partial 23S ribosomal RNA
Rfam family: Bacterial large subunit ribosomal RNA
Source: RNAcentral
GGUUAAGCGACUAAGCGUACACGGUGGAUGCCCUGGCAGUCAGAGGCGAUGAAGGACGUGCUAAUCUGCGAUAAGCGUCGGUAAGGUGAUAUGAACCGUUAUAACCGGCGAUUUCCGAAUGGGGAAACCCAGUGUGAUUCGUCACACUAUCAUUAACUGAAUCCAUAGGUUAAUGAGGCGAACCGGGGGAACUGAAACAUCUAAGUACCCCGAGGAAAAGAAAUCAACCGAGAUUCCCCCAGUAGCGGCGAGCGAACGGGGAGCAGCCCAGAGCCUGAAUCAGUGUGUGUGUUAGUGGAAGCGUCUGGAAAGGCGCGCGAUACAGGGUGACAGCCCCGUACACAAAAAUGCACAUGCUGUGAGCUCGAUGAGUAGGGCGGGACACGUGGUAUCCUGUCUGAAUAUGGGGGGACCAUCCUCCAAGGCUAAAUACUCCUGACUGACCGAUAGUGAACCAGUACCGUGAGGGAAAGGCGAAAAGAACCCCGGCGAGGGGAGUGAAAAAGAACCUGAAACCGUGUACGUACAAGCAGUGGGAGCACGCUUAGGCGUGUGACUGCGUACCUUUUGUAUAAUGGGUCAGCGACUUAUAUUCUGUAGCAAGGUUAACCGAAUAGGGGAGCCGAAGGGAAACCGAGUCUUAACUGGGCGUUAAGUUGCAGGGUAUAGACCCGAAACCCGGUGAUCUAGCCAUGGGCAGGUUGAAGGUUGGGUAACACUAACUGGAGGACCGAACCGACUAAUGUUGAAAAAUUAGCGGAUGACUUGUGGCUGGGGGUGAAAGGCCAAUCAAACCGGGAGAUAGCUGGUUCUCCCCGAAAGCUAUUUAGGUAGCGCCUCGUGAAUUCAUCUCCGGGGGUAGAGCACUGUUUCGGCAAGGGGGUCAUCCCGACUUACCAACCCGAUGCAAACUGCGAAUACCGGAGAAUGUUAUCACGGGAGACACACGGCGGGUGCUAACGUCCGUCGUGAAGAGGGAAACAACCCAGACCGCCAGCUAAGGUCCCAAAGUCAUGGUUAAGUGGGAAACGAUGUGGGAAGGCCCAGACAGCCAGGAUGUUGGCUUAGAAGCAGCCAUCAUUUAAAGAAAGCGUAAUAGCUCACUGGUCGAGUCGGCCUGCGCGGAAGAUGUAACGGGGCUAAACCAUGCACCGAAGCUGCGGCAGCGACGCUGAUGCGUUGUUGGGUA